CAAGGAGGCAGAGUGGGACCCGGCCCUUGUGGGGGGCAGAUUCUUGCCUGCACAGGGGGGCGGGUCUCGGAUCUCCUGUUCUGAGGCCCCAGGGAGCUGGGGUUUGGGUGCAUCCCUCAGCAUCUGGUCCCCAGUCUCCUCAUCCGUUGGGUGGGCAUAAGGACUACUCGGCAGGCUGCUGAGACCACGCAAGGUCAUGAGAGCAAAGCUCCUGUCUGCACAGUGCCCGGUCCCCCUGGUCAACGGCUCAGCGCUCAUCACUGGUGUCCAGUGCCUGGAGGGCCUCAGUGGAAGGAACACGUGAGUGCAUCUCCCCGGGGGCCCAGCGCAGCCUCACGCAGGAUUAAAAGAACCGUCCAUAAAAGAACCAUUAAAAGGAUCAUCUUGAGCCACAUCUAGAACACCUGGGAA
Long non-coding RNA from Marmota monax (woodchuck), 411 nucleotides. RefSeq lists it as uncharacterized. The record is from RefSeq and is a predicted model, not a curated record. NCBI's taxonomy places the organism in Eukaryota, Metazoa, Chordata, Mammalia, Rodentia, Sciuridae. The transcript is spliced from 2 exons.